This 229-nucleotide ribosomal RNA is filed under the name uncultured bacterium. RNAcentral's name for it is "partial 16S ribosomal RNA". It matches the Rfam family "Bacterial small subunit ribosomal RNA", at positions 568 to 796 of the family's 1533-position model. The record is from RNAcentral.
UGCGUAGGUGGGAUUGUAAGUCAGUGGUGAAAGUCUGCCGCUUAACGGUAGGACUGCCAUUGAUACUGCAAUUCUUGAGUAUGGUUGAGGUAAGUGGAAUGUGUAGUGUAGCGGUGAAAUGCAUAGAUAUUACACAGAACACCGAUUGCGAAGGCAGCUUACUAAGCCAUUACUGACGCUGAGGCACGAAAGCGUGGGGAGCGAACAGGAUUAGAUACCCUGGUAGUCC